This is a transfer RNA of Gonium pectorale, 92 nucleotides long. It matches the Rfam family "tRNA". From Rfam's summary of the family: Transfer RNA (tRNA) molecules are approximately 80 nucleotides in length. Their secondary structure includes four short double-helical elements and three loops (D, anti-codon, and T loops). Further hydrogen bonds mediate the characteristic L-shaped molecular structure. tRNAs have two regions of fundamental functional importance: the anti-codon, which is responsible for specific mRNA codon recognition, and the 3' end, to which the tRNAs corresponding amino acid is attached (by aminoacyl-tRNA synthetases). tRNAs cope with the degeneracy of the genetic code in two manners: having more than one tRNA (with a specific anti-codon) for a particular amino acid; and 'wobble' base-pairing, i.e. permitting non-standard base-pairing at the 3rd anti-codon position. Lineage: Eukaryota; Viridiplantae; Chlorophyta; Chlorophyceae; Chlamydomonadales; Volvocaceae. The record is from Rfam.
GGGGUCGUAGCUCAAAUGGUAGAGCGCCCGCUUAGCAAGGCUAAGCGCCCGUAAUAUGCGGGAGGUAGGGGGAUCGAUGCCCUCCGACUCCA